CCUACGGGGGGCAGCAGUGAGGAAUAUUGGUCAAUGGCCGGAAGGCUGAACCAGCCAUGCCGCGUGAAGGUCAGUGCCCUAUGGGCGUUAAACUUCUUUUGUGCGGGAGCAAUAAUGGUCACGUGUGGCCAGACGAGAGUACCGUACGAAUAAGCCUCGGCUAACUCCGUGCCAGCAGCCGCGGUAAUACGGGGGAUGCAAGCGUUAUCCGGAUUUAUUGGGUUUAAAGGGUGCGUAGGCUGUGAGGUAAGUCAGCGGUGAAAUGCCCCCGCUCAACGGGGUGAAGCGCCAUUGGUACUGGCGUGCUGGAAUGCGGAUGCCGGUGGAGGAAUGUGUGGUGGAGCGGUGAAAUGCAUAGAUAUCACACAGAACACCGAUUGCGAAGGGAUCUAACGAAUCCGCGAUUGACGCUGAUGCACGAAAGCGUGGGUAUCAAACAGGAUUAGAUACCCCAGUAGUC
Molecule: ribosomal RNA, 460 nt
Filed under: uncultured bacterium
Lineage: Bacteria
Description: partial 16S ribosomal RNA
Rfam family: Bacterial small subunit ribosomal RNA
Source: RNAcentral